CGGCCUGUAGCUCAGGUGGUCAGAGCGCCGGUCUUACAAACCGGGCGUCGCAGGUUCGACUCCUGCCGGGCCGACCA
Molecule: transfer RNA, 77 nt
Filed under: Nonomuraea deserti
Lineage: Bacteria; Bacillati; Actinomycetota; Actinomycetes; Streptosporangiales; Streptosporangiaceae
Also listed under: 2 other names
Description: Nonomuraea sp. KC310 tRNA-Val
Rfam family: tRNA
About the family: Transfer RNA (tRNA) molecules are approximately 80 nucleotides in length. Their secondary structure includes four short double-helical elements and three loops (D, anti-codon, and T loops). Further hydrogen bonds mediate the characteristic L-shaped molecular structure. tRNAs have two regions of fundamental functional importance: the anti-codon, which is responsible for specific mRNA codon recognition, and the 3' end, to which the tRNAs corresponding amino acid is attached (by aminoacyl-tRNA synthetases). tRNAs cope with the degeneracy of the genetic code in two manners: having more than one tRNA (with a specific anti-codon) for a particular amino acid; and 'wobble' base-pairing, i.e. permitting non-standard base-pairing at the 3rd anti-codon position.
Source: RNAcentral